UCUGGUCCAUAUGUUGGUAGAAUGUGCAU
This 29-nucleotide non-coding RNA is filed under the name Rattus norvegicus (Norway rat). The record is from RNAcentral. Lineage: Eukaryota; Metazoa; Chordata; Mammalia; Rodentia; Muridae.